RNAcentral lists this ribosomal RNA (727 nucleotides) under uncultured bacterium. RNAcentral describes it as "bacterial SSU rRNA". It matches the Rfam family "Bacterial small subunit ribosomal RNA", at positions 62 to 797 of the family's 1533-position model. The record is from RNAcentral.
UUAGAAUGAGAGCUUCGGCAGGAUUUCUUUCCAUCUUAGUGGCGGACGGGUGAGUAACGUGUGGGCAACCUGCCCUGUACUGGGGAAUAAUCAUUGGAAACGAUGACUAAUACCGCAUGUGGUCCUCGGAAGGCAUCUUCUGAGGAAGAAAGGAUUUAUUCGGUACAGGAUGGGCCCGCAUCUGAUUAGCUAGUUGGUGAGAUAACAGCCCACCAAGGCGACGAUCAGUAGCCGACCUGAGAGGGUGAUCGGCCACAUUGGGACUGAGACACGGCCCAAACUCCUACGGGAGGCAGCAGUGGGGAAUAUUGCACAAUGGGCGAAAGCCUGAUGCAGCAACGCCGCGUGAAGGAUGAAGGGUUUCGGCUCGUAAACUUCUAUCAAUAGGGAAGAAACAAAUGACGGUACCUAAAUAAGAAGCCCCGGCUAACUACGUGCCAGCAGCCGCGGUAAUACGUAGGGGGCAAGCGUUAUCCGGAAUUACUGGGUGUAAAGGGAGCGUAGGCGGCAUGGUAAGCCAGAUGUGAAAGCCUUGGGCUUAACCCGAGGAUUGCAUUUGGAACUAUCAAGCUAGAGUACAGGAGAGGAAAGCGGAAUUCCUAGUGUAGCGGUGAAAUGCGUAGAUAUUAGGAAGAACACCAGUGGCGAAGGCGGCUUUCUGGACUGAAACUGACGCUGAGGCUCGAAAGCGUGGGGAGCAAACAGGAUUAGAUACCCUGGUAGUCCA